UGAGAUUCAACUUCUCCAACUGC
Molecule: microRNA, 23 nt
Filed under: Octopus vulgaris (common octopus)
Lineage: Eukaryota; Metazoa; Mollusca; Cephalopoda; Octopoda; Octopodidae
Also listed under: 1 other name
Description: Ovu-Mir-1175_3p (mature (guide))
Source: RNAcentral